Molecule: ribosomal RNA, 440 nt
Filed under: uncultured bacterium
Lineage: Bacteria
Description: bacterial SSU rRNA
Rfam family: Bacterial small subunit ribosomal RNA
Source: RNAcentral
GCAGUCGAACGAGAAACGGAUUUAGCUUGCUAAAUUGCAGUCUAAGUGGCGCACGGGUGAGUAAUGUAUAGGUAACAUGCCUUCUACUAGGGGAUAACAGUUGGAAACGACUGCUAAUACCCUAUAUUCCUUAUUAGCACAAGUGUGUAAGGGAAAGAUUCAUUGGUAGAAGAUUGGCCUAUAUUGUAUCAGCUAGUUGGUAGUGUAAUGGACUACCAAGGCUAUGACGCAUAACUGGUUUGAGAGGAUGAUCAGUCACACUGGAACUGAGACACGGUCCAGACUCCUACGGGAGGCAGCAGUGGGGAAUAUUGCACAAUGGGCGAAAGCCUGAUGCAGCAACGCCGCGUGGAGGAUGACACAUUUCGGUGCGUAAACUCCUUUUAUAUGGGAAGAUAAUGACGGUACCAUAUGAAUAAGCACCGGCUAACUCCGUGCCA